CACCGCCUGGGGAGUACGACCGCAAGGUUAAAACUCAAAUGAAUUGACGGGGACCCGCACAAGUAGUGGAGCAUGUGGUUUAAUUCGAAGAUACGCGCAGAACCUUACCAACACUUGACAUGUUCGUCGCGACUUUAAGAGAUUAAAGUUUUCGGUUCGGCCGGACGAAACACAGGUGCUGCAUGGCUGUCGUCAGCUCGUGUCGUGAGAUGUUGGGUUAAGUCCCGCAACGAGCGCAACCCUCACUUUUAGUUGCCAUCAUUAAGUUGGGCACUCUGAAAGAACUGCCAGUGAUAAGCUGGAGGAAGGUGGGGAUGACGUCAAGUCCUCAUGGCCCUUACGUGUUGGGCUACACACGUGCUACAAUGGUAUUUACAACAGGAAGCAAGACGGCGACGUUAAGCAAAUCCUUAAAAAAUACCUCAGUUCGGAUUGCACUCUGCAACUCGAGUGCAUGAAGCUGGAAUUACUAGUAAUCGUGGAUCAGCGUGCCACGGUGAAUGCGUUCCCGGGUCUUGUACACACCGCCCGUCACACCAUGGGAGUUGGUUCUACCUUAAGGCAAGGUUUAAAACCCUUGACCACGGUAUAGUCAGCGACUGGGGUGAAGUCGUAACAAGGUAGCCGUAGGGGAACCUGCGGCUGGAUUACCUCCUUUCUAAGGAUGAAUGAAAAAUAAAUUUUCAUUCUAAAUAAUAUACAGGUUAAUGUUGACCGUCCUCAUUUCUCUUCUUAAAAUUAGUGUUUCUCUUGCAUGGGGGCCGGUAGCUCAGUUGGUUAGAGCACACCCUUGAUAAGGGUGGGGUCGAAAGUUCGAGUCUUUCUCGGCCCACCAAAAAAUAAGAUUAAGGGGGGAUUAGCUCAGCUGGGAGAGCGCCUGAUUUGCAUUCAGGAGGUCAGCGGUUCGAUCCCGCUAUCCUCCACCAAAACACUUAGUUAUAUAAAAUUGUAAAUAAAAAUUAUUAAUAUCAAUAUCUAUAUCCGAACAUUAAUAAUGUUAUUAGUUAAUGUUCAAAAAAUUUGAUUCAACACAGAAUUUUUUUCUG
Molecule: small RNA, 1046 nt
Filed under: uncultured Pelagibacterales bacterium
Lineage: Bacteria; Pseudomonadati; Pseudomonadota; Alphaproteobacteria; Candidatus Pelagibacterales
Description: bacterial SSU rRNA
Rfam family: Bacterial small subunit ribosomal RNA (bases 1-658)
Source: RNAcentral